AACUUAGCAGAGAUGCUUUGGUGCCUUCGGGAACUCUGAGACAGGUGCUGCAUGGCUGUCGUCAGCUCGUGUUGUGAAAUGUUGGGUUAAGUCCCGCAACGAGCGCAACCCUUAUCCUUGUUGCCAGCGGUUAGGCCGGGAACUCAAAGGAGACUGCCAGUGAUAAACUGGAGGAAGGUGGGGAUGACGUCAAGUCAUCAUGGCCCUUACAAGUAGGGCUACACACGUGCUACAAUGGCGCAUACAAAGAGAAGCGACCUCGCGAGAGCAAGCGGACCUCAUAAAGUGCGUCGUAGUCCGGAUUGAAGUCUGCAACUCGACUCCAUGAAGUCGGAAUCGCUAGUAAUCGUGGAUCAGAAUGCCACGGUGAAUACGUUCCCGGGCCUUGUACACACCGCCCGUCACACCAUGGGAGUGGGUUGCAAAAGAAGUAGGUAGCUUAACCUUCGGGAGGGCGUUUACCACUUUGUGAUUCAUGACUGGGGUGAAGUCGUAACAAGGUAAGCGUAGUGCU
This 514-nucleotide ribosomal RNA is filed under the name uncultured bacterium. RNAcentral describes it as "bacterial SSU rRNA". It matches the Rfam family "Bacterial small subunit ribosomal RNA", at positions 994 to 1509 of the family's 1533-position model. The record is from RNAcentral.